UGCCUUGUUCGACUUCUCUUUCCUUUAAAUCACAUUAUGUAUAUAAGUUUUUUAUAUUUUAAUUAUAAUAAAUCCCUUAGAUUUAUAAUAUAAUUCAUCGGUAAGAGCGACGGGCGGUGUGUACAAAGGGCAGGGNNGUAUUCCUCUUGGUAUGUUAAACCAAAGAAGAGUACAAGGCAUUCCUAGUUAAGGCCAAGUGUAAUAAUUAACAAUACACUAUCCCCACCUUAAAUUAAUUAUAUUUAUAUUAAUUAAUCACGAUUUUUAAAUGAUUACCGAUUUACUUUCGAAAUAGGUUGUAAUAUAAUAUUAUAUAUUAUAAAGUAUAUAUACUUAUUAAUGUAAUUAUUGUAGCACGUGUGCAGCCCAGAACAUCUGAGGGCAUCACAGACCUGUUAUUGCCGUAAUCUUACUCUAUUUUAACACAUAUUUAGUAAUGACAGCGGUCCCUUUAAUUUUAUGCUAUAAUUAAAUAAUAAUAGCAAUAAAAGGUUACGGUCACGUUCGUUGCAUUCAUUUAUUAUAUAAUAAUAUAUAUAAUAUGUUCACUUUAAAUCCAUAAAGGCAGAACUAAAUAUUAUAAUAUAUCAUAUAUUUUAUUUACUGAAACGCAAUUAAGCAGACAAAUCACUCCACGAACUAAGAACGGCCAUGCACCACCUAUCAUAUAAUCAUGAAAGGACUAUCAUUUUUAUGCAUAUAAAAAUAUAUAUUUUUAUAUACUAUCGCCUGUCAAUCCUCAAUAUGUCUGGACCUGGUAAGAUUUCCCAGGUUGAGUCAAAUUAAGCCACAUGCUCCACGCGU
This 804-nucleotide ribosomal RNA is filed under the name Sorites orbiculus. RNAcentral's name for it is "partial 18S ribosomal RNA". The record is from RNAcentral. Lineage: Eukaryota; Foraminifera; Miliolida; Soritidae.